RNAcentral lists this ribosomal RNA (253 nucleotides) under uncultured bacterium. RNAcentral's name for it is "partial 16S ribosomal RNA". It matches the Rfam family "Bacterial small subunit ribosomal RNA", at positions 524 to 776 of the family's 1533-position model. The record is from RNAcentral.
UACGUAGGGUGCGAGCGUUAAUCGGAAUUACUGGGCGUAAAGCGUGCGCAGGCGGUUUUGUAAGCCAGAUGUGAAAUCCCCGGGCUUAACCUGGGAAUGGCAUUUGGGACUGCAAGGCUGGAGUGCGGCAGAGGAGACUGGAAUUCCUGGUGUAGCAGUGAAAUGCGUAGAUAUCAGGAGGAACACCGAUGGCGAAGGCAGCUCGCUGGGACGGUACUGACGCUGAGACGCGAAAGCGUGGGGAGCAAACAGG